GGGACAUGGAACAGCUGGAAAAGUAAGACCACAUCGUUCAAAAGCAUGACAGCACCUCUGCAAAUGAGACGAGAGCUAAAUAUGUGUCUCAGAGAUAGGAAGCUAAAUCAGAACGCAGCAAGAAGACAGCACACAUUCGAGAGAGGAAAAAGUGUGAAAUCUGCUUCUGGCCAUCAGAGGAGCUGAUGCAAUCCCGGCUGACUCGGGGGACAGCCACGGUGCCAGCUACAGAGGCCACAUGGCUCCUAAUGAGGCCAGGCCCAGUUGUAGCUCCGAAGAGUGGGUGAGCCAGCCAAAUUUCACCCAAGGACAGAAGCAGCCUUAACAGCUGUUGACAAGCACUGGCUACCAUCUAUGUGUCAACAGUUGUGUCAUGAGUUUGAGAUGGGCCGACAGCACAUGGAACUCAAAGGUGACUAAGGGAGAAAGGAAAGUAAAUCAAUGAUCAGAGUCCAGAGAGCUACAUGCAGUGCAACCCAUGGUUUUAUGGGAGAACCGACAGGGGCACCUUACUCUGGAAGGAACAACGCCAGGAGAGGCUUUGAGGUGCCGAUAAUGUCCAGGAACUUGUUUGGAAUUGAGCCUUGAUUCUGAAAAGAAAGUAUCAGAAGGCAGCAUUUGAACUGGCAUUUAAGGUGUCAACCAGGGGGAGUUUGGUGCUGACCAGUAAAAGGGGAGAAUCAAAAACCGAAGCUCUAUCACCAGGGACAGGGCCAGACUCCUGACUAGAAACUCAGUGGAUGUGCUGAAUCAUUCGGAUACUUGCCAGAAAAUUAUUUUACCCACUCAGAAGGCUGGGCAUCAGCCAAAACUGUCUGGAAAACCACAAGGAAAGACAUUUCCAUGAAGUAACUAGAGUUUUGGGCUUCUACUCUAGAGGAAUAUAAGAGGAACUUUCUUUAAAG
Molecule: long non-coding RNA, 905 nt
Filed under: Pan troglodytes (chimpanzee)
Lineage: Eukaryota; Metazoa; Chordata; Mammalia; Primates; Hominidae
Description: long non-coding RNA NONPTRT009944
Source: RNAcentral